AUUGAACGCUGGCGGCAGGCCUAACACAUGCAAGUCGAGCGGAUGAAGGGAGCUUGCUCCUGGAUUCAGCGGCGGACGGGGGAGUAAUGCCUAGGAAUCUGCCUGGUAGUGGGGGAUAACGUCCGGAAACGGGCGCUAAUACCGCAUACGUCCUGAGGGAGAAAGUGGGGGAUCUUCGGACCUCACGCUAUCAGAUGAGCCUAGGUCGGAUUAGCUAGUUGGUGGGGUAAAGGCCUACCAAGGCGACGAUCCGUAACUGGUCUGAGAGGAUGAUCAGUCACACUGGAACUGAGACACGGUCCAGACUCCUACGGGAGGCAGCAGUGGGGAAUCUUGGACAAUGGGCGAAAGCCUGAUCCAGCCAUGCCGCGUGUGUGAAGAAGGUCUUCGGAUUGUAAAGCACUUUAAGUUGGGAGGAAGGGCAGUAAGUUAAUACCUUGCUGUUUUGACGUUACCAACAGAAUAAGCACCGGCUAACUUCGUG
RNAcentral lists this ribosomal RNA (484 nucleotides) under uncultured bacterium. RNAcentral's name for it is "partial 16S ribosomal RNA". It matches the Rfam family "Bacterial small subunit ribosomal RNA", at positions 30 to 507 of the family's 1533-position model. The record is from RNAcentral.